CCUUUGACGUUAUCGGCGGACGGGUGAGUAACACGUGGGUAACCUACCUAUAAGACUGGGAUAACUUCGGGAAACCGGAGCUAAUACCGGAUAAUAUUUCGAACCGCAUGGUUCGAUAGUGAAAGAUGGUUUUGCUAUCACUUAUAGAUGGACCCGCGCCGUAUUAGCUAGUUGGUAAGGUAACGGCUUACCAAGGCGACGAUACGUAGCCGACCUGAGAGGGUGAUCGGCCACACUGGAACUGAGACACGGUCCAGACUCCUACGGGAGGCAGCAGGC
Molecule: ribosomal RNA, 279 nt
Filed under: uncultured Staphylococcus sp.
Lineage: Bacteria; Bacillati; Bacillota; Bacilli; Caryophanales; Staphylococcaceae
Description: partial 16S ribosomal RNA
Rfam family: Bacterial small subunit ribosomal RNA
Source: RNAcentral